CACCGAAGCUGCGGCAGCGACACUGUGUGUUGUUGGGUAGGGGAGCGUUCUGUAAGCCUGUGAAGGUGUGCUGUGAGGCAUGCUGGAGGUAUCAGAAGUGCGAAUGCUGACAUAAGUAACGAUAAAGCGGGUGAAAAGCCCGCUCGCCGGAAGACCAAGGGUUCCUGUCCAACGUUAAUCGGGGCAGGGUGAGUCGACCCCUAAGGCGAGGCCGAAAGGCGUAGUCGAUGGGAAACAGGUUAAUAUUCCUGUACUUGGUGUUACUGCGAAGGGGGGACGGAGAAGGCUAUGUUGGCCGGGCGACGGUUGUCCCGGUUUAAGCGUGUAGGCUGGUUUUCCAGGCAAAUCCGGAAAAUCAAGGCUGAGGCGUGAUGACGAGGCACUACGGUGCUGAAGCAACAAAUGCCCUGCUUCCAGGAAAAGCCUCUAAGCAUCAGGUAACAUCAAAUCGUACCCCAAACCGACACAGGUGGUCAGGUAGAGAAUACCAAGGCGCUUGAGAGAACUCGGGUGAAGGAACUAGGCAAAAUGGUGCCGUAACUUCGGGAGAAGGCACGCUGAUAUGUAGGUGAAGUCCCUCGCGGAUGGAGCUGAAAUCAGUCGAAGAUACCAGCUGGCUGCAACUGUUUAUUAAAAACACAGCACUGUGCAAACACGAAAGUGGACGUAUACGGUGUGACGCCUGCCCGGUGCCGGAAGGUUAAUUGAUGGGGUCAGCGCAAGCGAAGCUCUUGAUCGAAGCCCCGGUAAACGGCGGCCGUAACUAUAACGGUCCUAAGGUAGCGAAAUUCCUUGUCGGGUAAGUUCCGACCUGCACGAAUGGCGUAAUGAUGGCCAGGCUGUCUCCACCCGAGACUCAGUGAAAUUGAACUCGCUGUGAAGAUGCAGUGUACCCGCGGCAAGACGGAAAGACCCCGUGAACCUUUACUAUAGCUUGACACUGAACAUUGAGCCUUGAUGUGUAGGAUAGGUGGGAGGCUUUGAAGUGUGGACGCCAGUCUGCAUGGAGCCGACCUUGAAAUACCACCCUUUAAUGUUUGAUGUUCUAACGUGGACCCGUGAUCCGGGUUGCGGACAGUGUCUGGUGGGUAGUUUGACUGGGGCGGUCUCCUCCUAAAGAGUAACGGAGGAGCACGAAGGUUGGCUAAUCCUGGUCGGACAUCAGGAGGUUAGUGCAAUGGCAUAAGCCAGCUUGACUGCGAGCGUGACGGCGCGAGCAGGUGCGAAAGCAGGUCAUAGUGAUCCGGUGGUUCUGAAUGGAAGGGCCAUCGCUCAACGGAUAAAAGGUACUCCGGGGAUAACAGGCUGAUACCGCCCAAGAGUUCAUAUCGACGGCGGUGUUUGGCACCUCGAUGUCGGCUCAUCACAUCCUGGGGCUGAAGUAGGUCCCAAGGGUAUGGCUGUUCGCCAUUUAAAGUGGUACGCGAGCUGGGUUUAGAACGUCGUGAGACAGUUCGGUCCCUAUCUGCCGUGGGCGCUGGAGAACUGAGGGGGGCUGCUCCUAGUACGAGAGGACCGGAGUGGACGCAUCACUGGUGUUCGGGUUGUCAUGCCAAUGGCACUGCCCGGUAGCUAAAUGCGGAAGAGAUAAGUGCUGAAAGCAUCUAAGCACGAAACUUGCCCCGAGAUGAGUUCUCCCUGACCCUUUAAGGGUCCUGAAGGAACGUUGAAGACGACGACGUUGAUAGGCCGGGUGUGUAAGCGCAGCGAUGCGUUGAGCUAACCGGUACUAAUGAACCGUGAGGCUUAACCUUACAACGCCGAAGGUGUUU
RNAcentral lists this ribosomal RNA (1772 nucleotides) under Escherichia coli. RNAcentral describes it as "partial 23S ribosomal RNA". It matches the Rfam family "Bacterial large subunit ribosomal RNA", at positions 1192 to 2925 of the family's 2925-position model. The record is from RNAcentral. Lineage: Bacteria; Pseudomonadati; Pseudomonadota; Gammaproteobacteria; Enterobacterales; Enterobacteriaceae.